Molecule: long non-coding RNA, 1577 nt
Organism: Chrysemys picta bellii (western painted turtle)
Lineage: Eukaryota; Metazoa; Chordata; Testudines; Emydidae
Source: Ensembl
AGGAAGAGAAAAGGGUGCAGGAAAUUAUCAUACGGAUGAAAUUAAGAGGCAGGUAAAUCCAAUUAUCAGCAUGAAAACAGGUAGAAACAUUAAAGGAAGUGGAAAUAAAGUCAGUUAGUGGUUGGAGUCCAGACUUCUGGGGUGUCAGCUGGUGAAUGGUGGCUAAUUUGAUAUAAGCUAAUUGCAUCGUUUGCCUAUUUGAUUUGAGAUCCAAAUCCUGGUCCUUCCAGGCUAAUCACUCCAAAUAAGUGAAUAGCUGGAACAGUUGUGAGAUCUGAUGCAUUCAUUGUUUUGCUUUAAACAGCUCUAUGUUCACGAGGUAAAACGUAAAAAGGAAUGUCCCUUAGAUAAGGUAAAAUGUAGCUGUGAUAUGAAAGCCUUGGAUAUCAGAACAAGAUGAAUGGACUAGACAGUGCGCAGUGGAGGGGAGGGGGUGCGUGUGUGUGUACAAGGGUAAUGAGGAGAGGGUGUAAGGAAAUUUCCUUCCCCUUUGUGCCAUAAGCAGAGGGCAGACACAAUCCUGCUCCAGGGAGCAUAAGGACAGCACCAGUUUCCUAUCAACAGCUGUAUGAGUUUCCAUGAAGUGGACCAAGAGGGCCAAGGGUUAUCCCACCUCCUCUACAUUGGCCAGUGGAGCAAAGCUAAGGAUGAUUACAGUUCUCUUCCCCGAGAUGUUCAGAGUCUGAAUGACCUUGAAAAUUCAAGAGCGAAACUCUGAUACCACAACUUCCUCUUUCCUCCACUGUUUGUGUAUCAGCACACUUCUAGUUUGCUGCUGACCAGAUACUAUAGACCAUGGCUGAAUCCUCUGACUUACUCCUAUGGAGUUCAGUGAAAGCAAAAUGGAUCCAGGCAUCUAUCAUCUCCUACAAGGGAGUUUGGUAACAUCAGGAGGUGGCCAGUAUCAUGAAGCCAAAACACAUGUGCUGCUGCACUGAAGAACCACGUGGCAAAUAUAUAAAAGCAUGGCCUGCAGCAUUCCACAGACACAGAAACCUUCAUGGAAUUUUACCAGCAUCAGGAUUGAUUGCCAGCUUGAGGAUUCUCUAUUGGCAGCAGGUCCAAGAGGGACACCGCUUCUUUCUCUAGAUCCAGUGAAAGUGUACUACAGGCUGGCUCUGGAGGCAGCCCGACUGCUGCAGAAUCCUCAAAUCCCUCUCUCAGAAAUGGACUUGGUAGAAUCAUGGAGCGAUCCGUGUUCUGUAUUUAAUCUUAGAUCAUGAGAAAAAGUUAAAUACUGAAAUGGGAGGCUCAGAUAAAAGUAUUAGCAACACCAAGUAGCUCAAAAAUCAUGAGUUACCCCCCAUCCCCCAAAAUAUCAUGAGAUUGGUUUAAAAUAUGAGAUUUUUAAAUUAUAUAAUUUGGGGGUCCUUUUUAUUUGCUGCCUUGGAUUUUGAAUCCCUGGGCACGCUUGGCUCACAUUUUCUAGCUUUUCUCUUCCAGCAUGGGGGCUAGAAACUUAUUUUUAUUUUAAAUGAAAGCUGAGAUUCUUUCCUAAUCACAUGCCUCCAGGAGCAGGCGCUUUAAGAAGAACAUCAACUAUUGCAAGACUCACAAUAAAAUCACAAGCGUUGGCA